RNAcentral lists this small nucleolar RNA (139 nucleotides) under Sorghum bicolor (sorghum). RNAcentral's name for it is "Small nucleolar RNA Z247". It matches the Rfam family "Small nucleolar RNA Z247". From Rfam's summary of the family: Z247 is a member of the C/D class of snoRNA which contain the C (UGAUGA) and D (CUGA) box motifs. Most of the members of the box C/D family function in directing site-specific 2'-O-methylation of substrate RNAs. Lineage: Eukaryota; Viridiplantae; Streptophyta; Magnoliopsida; Poales; Poaceae. The record is from Rfam by way of RNAcentral.
AAGAUUGAAGAUGAAGAACUCGUUUCUUACAUCCUGACCGGGCAUGAUCUGGACUAUGAUCCGGUCAUCUCAGCAAUAGCGGCACGAGUAGAGCCGAUCUCUGUCAGCGAGUUGUUUACACAACUUGUCAGUCAUGAAC